This 303-nucleotide ribosomal RNA is filed under the name uncultured bacterium. RNAcentral's name for it is "partial 16S ribosomal RNA". It matches the Rfam family "Bacterial small subunit ribosomal RNA", at positions 507 to 807 of the family's 1533-position model. The record is from RNAcentral.
AGCAGCCGCCGCAGGAAUACAGAUGGUGCGAGCGUUAAUCGGAUUUACUGGGCGUAAAGCGUGCGUAGGCGGCUUCUUAAGUCGGAUGUGAAAUCCCUGAGCUUAACUUAGGAAUUGCAUUCGAUACUGGGAAGCUAGAGUAUGGGAGAGGAUGGUAGAAUUCCAGGUGUAGCGGUGAAAUGCGUAGAGAUCUGGAGGAAUACCGAUGGCGAAGGCAGCCAUCUGGCCUAAUACUGACGCUGAGGUACGAAAGCAUGGGGAGCAAACAGGAUUAGAUACCCCGGUAGUCCCUGUCUCUUAUAC